This 485-nucleotide ribosomal RNA is filed under the name Fusarium succisae. Its description in RNAcentral is "eukaryotic LSU rRNA". It matches the Rfam family "Eukaryotic large subunit ribosomal RNA", at positions 116 to 624 of the family's 3401-position model. Lineage: Eukaryota; Fungi; Ascomycota; Sordariomycetes; Hypocreales; Nectriaceae. The record is from RNAcentral.
UGAAAUCUGGCUCUCGGGCCCGAGUUGUAAUUUGUAGAGGAUACUUUUGAUGCGGUGCCUUCCGAGUUCCCUGGAACGGGACGCCAUAGAGGGUGAGAGCCCCGUCUGGUUGGAUGCCAAAUCUCUGUAAAGUUCCUUCGACGAGUCGAGUAGUUUGGGAAUGCUGCUCUAAAUGGGAGGUAUAUGUCUUCUAAAGCUAAAUACCGGCCAGAGACCGAUAGCGCACAAGUAGAGUGAUCGAAAGAUGAAAAGCACUUUGAAAAGAGAGUUAAAAAGUACGUGAAAUUGUUGAAAGGGAAGCGUUUAUGACCAGACUUGGGCUUGGUUAAUCAUCUGGGGUUCUCUCCAGUGCACUUUUCCAGUCCAGGCCAGCAUCAGUUUCCCCCGGGGGAUAAAGACUUCGGGAAUGUGGCUCUCUUCGGGGAGUGUUAUAGCCCGUUGUGUAAUACCCUGGGGGGGACUGAGGUUCGCGCAUCUGCAAGGAU